GGGGUAUAUUGUAACCUUUUAUGUUAUCUAGUAAUACAGUAAGAUGUAGAUGAAUUAAGAACAAAUUUUUAACGUCCAUUAUCACUGAACUAGUAUGCAUAUUUGUUUAGGGGCCAGGUGAAGGACGCCUCCGGGUGCGGUUAUUUCUAGCUACAUUGAAGACCCAUUGGUGGCCUUCGGUUGUUGUCUGCUCUAUGGUCGGGUUUGUUGUCAUUUUGACACAUUCCCCUUUUCCAUUCUCAUUUUUUUUUUAUAGCAUAUUAUGUAACGUUUCUACAUAUUACGUUAGUAUUUAUACAAAUUUCUAAUAUUUGAAAAUGCACAUCCCCAUCGACUGAAAUGGUCCUCACAUAUACAUGAUAUUAUACAUAAUCAGAUAAUAUAGGGAUAAAGUUCAGAUUUGUAAUUUAACUAUUCAUCUUUUUGUUCGUUUGUUCGUUCAUUGAUGAUUGUUUGUUUCUUUGUUUUUUUUUUGUUUCUGUCUUUCUUUUUCUUAUUCAUAUUGUUGUGAUAUGAUAUAAGACAUUACUGUUGAUAAAUAACAUAAAACAUCCUUACCUUUGUACAUGAAAUUUAAAACACGUCAUCCAAAAUUGUUCCUUUCGGUUUGUCCGAAAAUUUAAAAAUAAAUCGGGGAUUUUC
This 642-nucleotide long non-coding RNA is filed under the name Mytilus galloprovincialis (Mediterranean mussel). The record is from RNAcentral. Lineage: Eukaryota; Metazoa; Mollusca; Bivalvia; Mytilida; Mytilidae.